GCAAUACACCUGCUUUAUGCACUUGAGCAGGGAAGAAAUCCACAAGGACUCACCAGUCUCCUGGUCUGCAGAGAAGACAGAAUCAACAUGAGCACAGCAGGAAAAGUAAUCAAAUGCAAAGCAGCUGUGCUAUGGGAGUUAAAGAAACCCUUUUCCAUUGAGGAGGUGGAGGUUGCACCUCCUAAGGCCCAUGAAGUUCGUAUUAAGAUGGUGGCUGUAGGAAUCUGUGGCACAGAUGACCACGUGGUUAGUGGUACCAUGGUGACCCCACUUCCUGUGAUUUUAGGCCAUGAGGCAGCCGGCAUCGUGGAGAGUGUUGGAGAAGGGGUGACUACAGUCAAACCAGGUGAUAAAGUCAUCCCACUCGCUCUUCCUCAGUGUGGAAAAUGCAGAAUUUGUAAAAACCCGGAGAGCAACUACUGCUUGAAAAACAAUGUGAACAAUCCUCAGGGGACCCUGCAGGAUGGCACCAGCAGGUUCACCUGCAGGGGGAAGCCCAUCCACCACUUCCUUGGCAUCAGCACCUUCUCACAGUACACAGUGGUGGAUGAAAAUGCAGUAGCCAAAAUUGAUGCAGCCUCGCCCCUAGAGAAAGUCUGUCUCAUUGGCUGUGGAUUUUCAACUGGUUAUGGGUCUGCAGUCAAUGUUGCCAAGGUCACCCCAGGCUCUACCUGUGCUGUGUUUGGCCUGGGAGGGGUCGGCCUAUCUGCUAUUAUGGGCUGUAAAGCAGCUGGGGCAGCCAGAAUCAUUGCGGUGGACAUCAACAAGGACAAAUUUGCAAAGGCCAAAGAGUUGGGUGCCACUGAAUGCAUCAACCCUCAAGACUACAAGAAACCCAUCCAGGAGGUGCUAAAGGAAAUGACUGAUGGAGGUGUGGAUUUUUCGUUUGAAGUCAUCGGUCGGCUUGACACCAUGAUGGCUUCCCUGUUAUGUUGUCAUGAGGCAUGUGGCACAAGUGUCAUCGUAGGGGUACCUCCUGAUUCCCAAAACCUCUCAAUGAACCCUAUGCUGCUACUGACUGGACGUACCUGGAAGGGAGCUAUUCUUGGUGGCUUUAAGAGUAAAGAAUGUGUCCCAAAACUUGUGGCUGAUUUUAUGGCUAAGAAGUUUUCAUUGGAUGUAUUAAUAACCCAUGUUUUACCUUUUGAAAAAAUAAAUGAAGGAUUUGACCUGCUUCACUCUGGGAAAAGGCAAUGCUCGGUGUCAGUCUCAAUCUCACUAUCUUAGAGAAGAGAAAACUGAGACUCAGAGAAGGCAUGACUUGGUCAAAAUCAUCAGAUGGUAGGAAGGAGAGCCAGAAUUCAAAGGUAGAUCUUGUUGUCAGCAAAUAUCUCACUUCUAUUAAACCACACCGCCCCUCAAGAGCGCAUGGAUAUAUGGAACACAGUAGCCAUCAAAGUAUCCGUACCAUUCUGAUGUUUUGAGACAAUACAGAUGUUUUCCCUUGUGGCAGUCUUCAGCCUCCUCUACCCUACAUGAUCUGGAGCAACAGCUGGGAAAUAUCAUUAAUUCUGCUCAUCACAGAUUUUAUCAAUAAAUUACAUUUGGGGGCUUUCCAAAGAAAUGGAAAUUGAUGUAAACUUAUUUUUCAAGCAAAUGUUUAAAAUCCAAAUGAGAACUAAAUAAAGUGUUGAACAUCAGCUGGGGAAUUGAAGCCAAUAAACCUUCCUUCUUAACCAUU
This is an RNA transcript of Pan troglodytes (chimpanzee), 1681 nucleotides long. It is a transcript of the gene named alcohol dehydrogenase 1A, with no coding region annotated. The record is from RefSeq and is a predicted model, not a curated record. The transcript is spliced from 10 exons. Lineage: Eukaryota; Metazoa; Chordata; Mammalia; Primates; Hominidae.